GCGUAAACUACAUUGAACGUGAUCGUAUCGCUCGAUAGUUUUCCAUAACAUUUUUUCGGUGUCUCUGACUCUCCCAAUGCUCCUAUAGAUAGGAACAGCAGAGAUUCUAUCAAAGGCUCAGCACCAUGAAAACGAAUGAAGAAUAUCUAAUCCAAGUAUAGAAAUCUGAGCAGAAAUUUGAACGAUGUUUACAACUUGUCAGAACUGAGCUGCAAUCACUUACCCCCUCCACUUCACUUAACCUCUACAUCAAUUUCUUCUGAAGCCACGUACACAAAGCCGUCGAUUACGUUAGCCAGAUACCCUAAAACGCGUACUCGGAAUCGAGAUCACGAACAGAACAAAAGGAUCAACGAGGUAUAAAGGAAAAAAGGGAGUUAUGGAAAUCGCCCUAACACGCUCGGUAUAUCCUUCGCUUGCAAAAUUUAAUGCCACUGAUUAUCGCAUCGAGGUUUGCUUUAUCCAUGGAUUGCACGGUGGUCUCGGAAUUUUGGAUGCUUCUUGCAUACAGUCGUUUGAUAACGUAUUAUUAAUAAACGCGAUACGCAGAGAUAAUGUUGCAGACGGAAAGCGAGGAAUGAUAGAGGAUUUUCUUUAUUCUUUUUUUUUGCUAUUGGUCAGUCAAGGCAUAGUAUUUGUAAUGAAAACGGGUUUUUUUUAUGAUUUCAGAGCUAUUUUAACGUUGCCUUACUUUCACUUCGAGUUAUUUAAGGAGAUCAGUGUUCAAUCGCUAUGGAGUGAUUAGGUUAUGAAGAAAUAUAUUUAAUGGAGUCAUGUAGACAUAGGAAUAAUCUGAGAGUGGAAAAGGGAAGGACGGUGAAUUGAGUAUGAUCUUAUACUUACUGGGUAUCACCUUGAGUAUACAAAGUGGAACGUUAACAAUUUUUAAA
Molecule: unclassified non-coding RNA, 890 nt
Filed under: Eufriesea mexicana
Lineage: Eukaryota; Metazoa; Arthropoda; Insecta; Hymenoptera; Apidae
Description: uncharacterized LOC108549443, transcript variant X1
Source: RNAcentral